GAUGGCGUAAGCUAUCRCUUUUGGAUGGACCCGCGGCGUAUUAGCUAGUUGGUGAGGUAACGGCUCACCAAGGCGAUGAUACGUAGCCKAACUGAGAGGUUGAUCGGMCACAUUGGGACUGAGACACGGCCCAAACUCCUACGGGAGGCAGCAGUAGGGAAUCUUCCACAAUGGACGCAAGUCUGAUGGAGCAACGCCGCGUGAGUGAAGAAGGCUUUCGGGUCGUAAAACUCUGUUGUUGGAGAAGAAUGGUCGGCAGAGUAACUGUUGUCGGCGUGACGGUAUCCAACCAGAAAGCCACGGCUAACUACGUGCCAGCAGCCGCGGUAAUACGUAGGUGGCAAGCGUUAUCCGGAUUUAUUGGGCGUAAAGCGAGCGCAGGCGGUUUUUUAAGUCUGAUGUGAAAGCCCUCGGCUUAACCGAGGAAGCGCAUCGGAAACUGGGAAACUUGAGUGCAGAAGAGGACAGUGGAACUCCAUGUGUAGCGGUGAAAUGCGUAGAUAUAUGGAAGAACACCAGUGGCGAAGGCGGCUGUCUGGUCUGUAACUGACGCUGAGGCUCGAAAGCAUGGGUAGCGAACAGGAUUAGAUACCCUGGUAGUCCAUGCCGUAAACGAUGAAUGCUAGGUGUUGGAGGGUUUCCGCCCUUCAGUGCCGCAGCUAACGCAUUAAGCAUUCCGCCUGGGGAGUACGACCGCAAGGUUGAAACUCAAAGGAAUUGACGGGGGCCCGCACAAGCGGUGGAGCAUGUGGUUUAAUUCGAAGCAACGCGAAGAACCUUACCAGGUCUUGACAUCUUUUGAUCACCUGAGAGAUCAGGUUUCCCCUUCGGGGGCAAAAUGACAGGUGGUGCAUGGUUGUCGUCAGCUCGUGUCGUGAGAUGUUGGGUUAAGUCCCGCAACGAGCGCAACCCUUAUGACU
Molecule: ribosomal RNA, 920 nt
Filed under: Lacticaseibacillus paracasei
Lineage: Bacteria; Bacillati; Bacillota; Bacilli; Lactobacillales; Lactobacillaceae
Description: bacterial SSU rRNA
Rfam family: Bacterial small subunit ribosomal RNA
Source: RNAcentral